AAUCCAAGGUCACCCUGUCAUUAUAUUGAAGCAGUCAAAGAAGCAGCAGACUGUCCCACACCAGGAGCACCAAGUGGACCUGGUAACCCAGGCGGCCCGUUACUUCCCUGGGGAACAAGAUAUACAGUAAUCAAAGGGCCAGCUCUGCAUCAGAUGAGAUGUGGAUGAGGACACAGGGUCUCAAGAGGAUAUAACACUUUUAAAAGGGCUGCUCUGCCCAUCAAGCAAAACAAUGAUUUGAGGAAGAUUUUAUCACUACAG
This is a long non-coding RNA of Epinephelus fuscoguttatus (brown-marbled grouper), 261 nucleotides long. RefSeq lists it as uncharacterized. The transcript has 4 exons. NCBI's taxonomy places the organism in Eukaryota, Metazoa, Chordata, Actinopteri, Perciformes, Serranidae. The record is from RefSeq and is a predicted model, not a curated record.